RNAcentral lists this long non-coding RNA (637 nucleotides) under Panax ginseng (ginseng). RNAcentral describes it as "long non-coding RNA (PGIN_LNC018682)". The record is from RNAcentral. Lineage: Eukaryota; Viridiplantae; Streptophyta; Magnoliopsida; Apiales; Araliaceae.
AAGAAUAAGUCAGACAUGAGAUCCAAACCCUGGAUUGGGAUUGUGAUCAAGAGAUGAGAAUAAUAAUAUUAUAUUAUUUAUAUAAUGAUUUUACAGUACCAUAAUUAUGUACUGGGUAUGUGCGGACAGAUAAUAUUGAGCAAUGACGGUCAAUUAGGUCAUAGCAUAUUACCGUGCUGUGAAACCCUAAUUAUUAAACUCAGUUAUGGGAUAUUUCUGAGUAGUGACUGUGUAUAUGAAGUUACUGUGAAUAAGAAUAUCGGUAAUUAGAAGAAACCCUAAUUACUGUUGUACGUCGAUAAUUAGGACAAACCCUAAUUAUUAUAACCCUAACCGAUUGAAAUUAGAAAUCGUAACGACUGUGUUAGUAACAUACACAAAUAAUUAAAGAACCACUAAUGGUCAAUUAGAAACCUUAAUUGAUGACGUUGAGAAACCCUAAUUUUAAUUACCAGGUUUAAUUUCGAUGUUACUGUAUAAGUGUUUUAAUUUACCAAAGGAUAGAAGUUAAUUGGUAAAUUAUAAGAAUUAAAUCUAGUGAUUAAAUAUUACAUUUAAUUGCCUUGUACAAGAUUGCCCAUACACUCUUAAACAAAGCCCAACCAUCACCCAUAACAAAUCAGAAGCAAGAAUCAAG